GCCUCCUUAGCUCAGUCGGUAGAGCAAUGGACUUUUAAUCCAUUGGUCAUGGGUUCGAGUCCCAUAGGGGGUG
Molecule: transfer RNA, 73 nt
Filed under: Enterocytozoon bieneusi H348
Lineage: Eukaryota; Fungi; Microsporidia; Enterocytozoonidae
Description: tRNA-Lys (TTT) (tRNA-Lys-TTT-1-1)
Rfam family: tRNA
About the family: Transfer RNA (tRNA) molecules are approximately 80 nucleotides in length.
Source: Rfam by way of RNAcentral